AAUAUACACUUAUACCCCAAUGGUAAAUUAAUUUAGACAUUAGAGUUUAGAGUUAAGGGGUGGGGUUUAGGAUUUAGGAUUUAGGGUUUAGGGUUUAGAGUUUAGAGUUUAGGGUUUAGGGUUUAGAGUUUAGGGGUAGGGUUUAGGGUUUAGGGUUUAGAGUUAAGGAGUGGGGUUUAGGAUUUAGGGUUUAGGGUUUAGAGUUUAGGAUUUAGGGUUUAGGGUUUAGAGUUUAGGGUUUAAGGUUUAGAGUUUAGGUUUUAGGGUUUUCGGGAGUGGGGUUUUGGGAUAAGAUUUAAAAUUUUGAAAAAUAAAAAAAAUUUAAAUUUUUCA
This 333-nucleotide long non-coding RNA is filed under the name Brassica napus (rape). RNAcentral's name for it is "long non-coding RNA (BNAP_LNC022244)". Lineage: Eukaryota; Viridiplantae; Streptophyta; Magnoliopsida; Brassicales; Brassicaceae. The record is from RNAcentral.